GUGGGGAAUAUUGGACAAUGGGCGAAAGCCUGAUCCAGCCAUGCCGCGUGUGUGAAGAAUGUCUUCGGAUUGUAAAGCACUUUAAGUUGGGAGGAAGGGUAGUAACCUAAUACGUUGCUACUUUGACGUUACCGACAGAAUAAGCACCGGCUAACUUCGUGCCAGCAGCCGCGGUAAUACGAAGGGUGCAAGCGUUAAUCGGAAUUACUGGGCGUAAAGCGCGCGUAGGUGGUUCAGUAAGUUGGAAGUGAAAUCCCCGGGCUCAACCUGGGAACUGCUUUCAAAACUGCUGAGCUAGAGUACGGUAGAGGGUGGUGGAAUUUCCUGUGUAGCAGUGAAAUGCGUAGAUAUAGGAAGGAACACCAGUGGCGAAGGCGACCACCUGGACUGAUACUGACACUGAGGUGCGAAAGCGUGGGGAGCAAACAGGAUUAGAAACCCGUGUAGUCC
This 450-nucleotide ribosomal RNA is filed under the name uncultured bacterium. RNAcentral describes it as "partial 16S ribosomal RNA". It matches the Rfam family "Bacterial small subunit ribosomal RNA", at positions 354 to 796 of the family's 1533-position model. The record is from RNAcentral.